CUGUGUACAACUGUAAAAUGUCAACUUUUGAACCCCAUUAUAAGAUAUAGUGGGAAGGGUAUAUGAAAUUUUGAACCAAGAUACUUUCUUAUAUUGUUUUCUACAUUCGGAAAACUUAACGAUAAUCGGCUCAUUUUAUAUGAAUUUCCUGAAGGUUUUCACCACUAAUUAGGUAAUGGAGCCUAGAAAACUAAGAAAGCAUAAACCUAAUACUUUUGCAACAAGGUGGUAUUUCGUUACAUGAAUAACAAAACAAAAAAUCCAUCAAUGUAUAAGCGAUAUAAUUUUACAAUCGGAAACAGGUGUGGAGUAAAGGUGUAAAAUUAAUGAUUACUUUUGAACCUGCAGCAUCAGCGAGUCCCUGUUUGCUUUAUAGAGCUGUAACUCACAAUAGGAUAAUUUGAUCUAUAUGAUAAUCACUAAUGUUAUGUAACUAACAAACAAAUUGACGAUAAUCGGCUCAAUUUAUAUGAAUUUCCUGAAGGUUUUCACCACUAAUUAGGUAACGGAGCCAACUGCAGGACAGAAAACUAAGAAAGCAUAAACCUAAACACAGGGUUUAUAAAACAUUUCAAGCAUCAUAAAACCAAUAACUGCAUAAAAUUCUUUAUUAAAAUAUGAAUUAUAAAGCUAAGGCAAAUUCCUAUAUACUGCUUCCACAUGUAAAAGGUAGACACACCUUUGGAAAUAUGCACAUGCCACAUUUGUCAGAUUUGAAAAUAGGAAUUAAAAUUCUUAGAACUUCGCUUAAAAUACUAAAAACAUAUAGCAUCAUCUCAGUUACUUUUUCACGUGUCUAACUAUCUUUUAAAUCACCAAGGAGCUGGUUGUAUUACUCUUUUGACAAUGCUUCACCAAGAUCAUCAUCACACUUCUCUUUACUUCUUAGUCCAGUAAUCGAACCAUCAUAGUAGUCGAUUUCAAAAGACUAACUAGCAGACUUCUAUUUCGAGUUUCCACGCAAUCCACGAUCAUAUUUAGUUGCAAAGAUCUUAGCCAGCUUCUGAGUUAACUCUCCAAUCACUAAAUGAGCAUACUUUCCACACAACUCUCUCCUGUACCACAUCAUGAACUGUUUUUCGAACGAACCUGAUUCAGUUUUCAAAGUAUGAUUCUCAAGUUUCACAAGAAAUUCCUCUAAGAGCACAACUGCCUCUCUGUGCCUAUCUAGGCGAAAUAGAGCCUUUAUUAACAGAUAAUAUGUAGCCGAGUUAGGUGCUGGCCAGUUGUGCCAACCACUUCUGUUGUUCAUCAAUUUAAGAACGCAACUGGCUUCAUCCGAAAAUCCAUUGCUACAUAAACUGGC
This 1306-nucleotide long non-coding RNA is filed under the name Medicago truncatula (barrel medic). Its description in RNAcentral is "long non-coding RNA (MTRU_LNC000828)". The record is from RNAcentral. Lineage: Eukaryota; Viridiplantae; Streptophyta; Magnoliopsida; Fabales; Fabaceae.